ACUAAAGAAUUAUUGAAACUGAUUCCCAGUAUCAGUCAUAAAUGUAAACUGUUUUAGAAAUAAACAACUUUUCCUUAAAAUUCAUGAUAAGGGAUGAGCUUGUGAAGAUGGCAAUUAUUAAAAAAUAGUUUUUUCAGUGUCCUAGGUGAAAAUGAGCAAUUAUCGAGCUAUAAAAAGCUAUGAAACAUGGGACAGAGAAAGCCAGAUUUUCUUUUCUCCAUCUGUAUAAGGGAGGUAUAAGUAAUUAUUUCUGACUUAUUUAGCAAAUUAUAAUUACUUCAAAAAACAACGUAUCAAAAGCAAAAUUAAUUAUACUUUUUGGAUUUAAUUUUAAUUUUAAUUUUAAUUUUUUGUAGAGAUAGAGUCUUGCUAUGUCACUAUGUUGCCCAGGCUGGUAUUGAACUCCUGAGCUCAAGGGAUCCUCCUGACUCAAUCUCUCAACUGGCUGAGACUAAAGACGCAUGCCAGCACACCCAGCCAACAUUAAUUCUGUUUUGAUGAUUAAGAUGCAUUGUGUAAGACUGUGAGUGUAAUUUGUAAAUUGACCUUAGAAAUAUCUAAGUACAACUUCUAGCUUUAUUGCUUAAUAGCAAUGUGAUGAGAAUCAAUUUCCUCAUUUAUAAGGGGCAAGGAAUAAUAUCUACAUUUUGUAACUUCUAAGAGUGUAACACAUACACAGAAUAUAUACAUGGAAAGAGAGAGAGAAGGAAAGAGAGAGAGAGAAACUAGCAUAAUAGUAGUGUAGUAGCAGUGGUAUAAUUAUUUCUUUUAUUAUCAGUUUCACUAAAAUUUGAAAUUAUAAUUGGCAUUGUAAUAAAAUUGAUAAAACAAUAAAUGGGAGUAACUAUAUGAAAUUAUCUA
RNAcentral lists this long non-coding RNA (861 nucleotides) under Homo sapiens (human). RNAcentral describes it as "HSALNT0110677". Lineage: Eukaryota; Metazoa; Chordata; Mammalia; Primates; Hominidae. The record is from RNAcentral.